GGAUGUGAGGGCGAUCUGGCUGCGACAUCUGUCACCCCAUUGAUCGCCAGGGUUGAUUCGGCUGAUCUGGCUGGCUAGGCGAUGUCCCCUUCCUCCUUCACCGCUCCAUGUGCAUCCCUCCCGAAGCUGCGCGCUCGGUCGAAGAGGACGACCUUCCCCGAUAGAGGAGAGGACCGUUCUUCCGUCAAGGGUAUAUGAGUAGCUGCACUCCCCUGUUAGAACCUCCAAACAAGCUCUCAAGAUAAUGAUAGCAGAGACGAAGAGUAAAUUAAUAAUUUAAUUUAUUAAUUAAUAAAAUAAUUUAUAUAAAAUUUUUAUAUUUUAU
Mustela putorius furo (domestic ferret) is the source of this 325-nucleotide unclassified non-coding RNA. Its record names the gene 7SK. It matches the Rfam family "7SK RNA". From Rfam's summary of the family: 7SK was discovered as an abundant small nuclear RNA in the mid-70s but a possible function has only recently been suggested. Two independent studies have found that 7SK RNA binds the CDK9/cyclin T complex (known as elongation factor P-TEFb). P-TEFb activates transcription by phosphorylating the C-terminal domain of RNA polymerase II. Lineage: Eukaryota; Metazoa; Chordata; Mammalia; Carnivora; Mustelidae. The record is from Ensembl.